Molecule: unclassified non-coding RNA, 20 nt
Filed under: Mus musculus (house mouse)
Lineage: Eukaryota; Metazoa; Chordata; Mammalia; Rodentia; Muridae
Description: oocyte_clustered_small_RNA5604
Source: RNAcentral
GCCUAUUCUCUGGCCUGUUC